Molecule: ribosomal RNA, 422 nt
Filed under: uncultured bacterium
Lineage: Bacteria
Description: bacterial SSU rRNA
Rfam family: Bacterial small subunit ribosomal RNA
Source: RNAcentral
UAAGGAAUAUUGGACAAUGGAGGCAACUCUGAUCCAGCCAUGCCGCGUGAAGGAAUAAGGCCCUAUGGGUUGUAAACUUCUUUUAGACGGGACAAAACCCCUUUACGUGUAAAGGGUUGAUGGUACUGUCAGAAUAAGCAUCGGCUAACUUCGUGCCAGCAGCCGCGGUAAUACGAAGGAUGCAAGCGUUAUCCGGAAUUAUUAGGUUUAAAGGGUGCGUGGGCGGACUAAUAAGUCAGUGGUGAAAGCCUGCAGCUUAACUGCAGAAUUGCCAUUGAUACUGUUAGUCUUGAGUACAGUUGAGGUAGGCGGAAUGUGUCAUGUAGCGGUGAAAUGCUUAGAUAUGACACAGAACACCGAUUGCGAAGGCAGCUUGCUAAGCUGUAACUGACGCUGAGGCACGAAAGCGUGGGGAGCAAACA